This 253-nucleotide ribosomal RNA is filed under the name uncultured bacterium. Its description in RNAcentral is "partial 16S ribosomal RNA". It matches the Rfam family "Bacterial small subunit ribosomal RNA", at positions 524 to 776 of the family's 1533-position model. The record is from RNAcentral.
UACGUAGGGGGCAAGCGUUGUCCGGAUUUACUGGGCGUAAAGAGCGUGUAGGCGGCCACGCAGGUCCGUUGUGAAAACUGGAGGCUCAACCUCCAGCUGUCGACGGAAACCGUAUGGCUAGAGUCCGGAAGAGGAGAGUGGAAUUCCUGGUGUAGCGGUGAAAUGCGUAGAUAUCAGGAGGAACACCGGUGGCGAAGGCGGGUCUCUGGGCCGAUACUGACGCUGAGGAGCGAAAGCGUGGGGAGCGAACAGG